UGCCCAGCAACUCCUAUCCUUACCUCCUCGCGGUACUGGCCGGGGUACGAGUAACCUUAGGGAAGAUCGCGUAACCAACCCCGGUUGGGAACUAUGGUCGUAUGCUGACAGGGAAGG
This 117-nucleotide ribozyme is filed under the name Aedes aegypti (yellow fever mosquito). Its description in RNAcentral is "drz-agam-1 ribozyme". It matches the Rfam family "drz-agam-1 ribozyme". The record is from Rfam by way of RNAcentral. Lineage: Eukaryota; Metazoa; Arthropoda; Insecta; Diptera; Culicidae.